This 376-nucleotide ribosomal RNA is filed under the name uncultured bacterium. RNAcentral describes it as "bacterial SSU rRNA". It matches the Rfam family "Bacterial small subunit ribosomal RNA", at positions 790 to 1167 of the family's 1533-position model. The record is from RNAcentral.
GUAGUCCACGCCCUAAACGAUGUCAAUUAGCUGUUGGGGCACUUGAUGCCUUAGUAGCGUAGCUAACGCGUGAAAUUGACCGCCUGGGGAGUACGGUCGCAAGAUUAAAACUCAAAGGAAUUGACGGGGACCCGCACAAGCGGUGGAUGAUGUGGAUUAAUUCGAUGCAACGCGAAGAACCUUACCUGGUCUUGACAUGUACGGAAUCUUCCAGAGACGGAAGAGUGCCUUCGGGAGCCGUAACACAGGUGCUGCAUGGCUGUCGUCAGCUCGUGUCGUGAGAUGUUGGGUUAAGUCCCGCAACGAGCGCAACCCUUGUCAUUAGUUGCCACCAUUCAGUUGGGCACUCUAAUGAGACUGCCGGUGACAAACCGGA